CGUCGUCCUGAAAUUUUAAUGAGAUACAAAAUGACUGCGGAGUCGACGGCGUAUUACGCGGGACCGGGCCAUCCAUCAAAAUAGGCGGUGCGUACAGAUGGGAUUAAUCCGUCACGACGCCAGAUAAAAAUCUCCAAGACGAUGUUAUUAGAGUGUAUGUGUGAAACAGUAAACCAACUCCGUCAGUACUUAUUUAAUAUAAAAAAUAUAAAAAAUGUAAAAAUGAUUUAAAUGAAAAUCAUCAAGUUGCCUAACCUAAUCUAAUCCAAAAAAACCUACGUGUAGAAAAAUUAUUAGUUUGCUUUCAUUACAUUUUUAUUUUACUACUACAUUUAUUAUUAAAUAAAUUUUAUUUCAAAUAACA
Long non-coding RNA from Aethina tumida (small hive beetle), 364 nucleotides. RefSeq lists it as uncharacterized. Lineage: Eukaryota; Metazoa; Arthropoda; Insecta; Coleoptera; Nitidulidae. The transcript is spliced from 2 exons. The record is from RefSeq and is a predicted model, not a curated record.